ACUCCCUAGGGAAGAAUCUUGGUCAAACCCGAAAGGAAAGCUACUUUAAGAUAAGAAGAAAACCGAGGGGUUUCGUCUGUCGAAUAGUUACCCAGGAAAGCAAGAUGCUAUGGAAGGAGGGAAACCCGCUAACUACAAUUUAAUAGUUACCUUAGCCUGGUAAACCCGACACCUAUGAGGAUAUCCGGGGCAUUCUCCUCACUUUCGGGAGAAAUGCACGACUUGAUAGCUCAUCUGCAGCCCUUCUCUUGCUCGGGCGAUAGAAGCACACUCCAGAGACCUGCCCGCUUAGUUACAUAAACAAAGAAGCUCCCUGGGGCAAGGAAAGUUAGCCACCUCUUUCACCCUCUUAGGGGUUUCCUUCGAUAGAGGAUUGGGAAAGGCAUGACUACUAUAUUACUUGGCAGGUUUCAUCAUUCUUCCACCUCGAGGGAUGGAUCGAUGUGGGUGGGAAGGGCGCUUUCCACUAUAUGAGCUAGGAAAGCCCGUCUUUUGAAUGAAUUAACAAACCUUUUCCCUCCUGAAAUAAGACAACACAGGGGGUGGAGUGAGCCUAGAGUAGAAUAAGACUCCCUCUUAGACUCUCAACUCAUACCAGGGCGGGCAGGGAAAGACUGAGACUACCGAUACCGAGCCGGGGUUGGAUCACAGGAUAGAUACCCUAUGGUUGGUCUCUAUGCCUGCUUCACUUCGUAGCAUUAAGGGGGCAGUGCCAUGAGGGAAAUCGACUAGGAAC
Molecule: long non-coding RNA, 736 nt
Filed under: Trifolium pratense (red clover)
Lineage: Eukaryota; Viridiplantae; Streptophyta; Magnoliopsida; Fabales; Fabaceae
Description: long non-coding RNA (TPRA_LNC009310)
Source: RNAcentral